Molecule: small RNA, 262 nt
Filed under: uncultured Eubacterium sp.
Lineage: Bacteria; Bacillati; Bacillota; Clostridia; Eubacteriales; Eubacteriaceae
Description: Clostridiales-3 RNA
Rfam family: Clostridiales-3 RNA
Source: RNAcentral
AGUAGCCUGACGGAUCGAAAGAUGAAGGGUGAGGAACAGGACAGCCAACUGAUAAAGGGAAUAACAGCAUUGCUUGGAGAUAAUGAACCACAGAGGAUAUAGAAGAAUAUCCUCAUCCUCGAAAUGGCAGUAGAGGAGAUAGUUCUUUUUUAUAAAGAGCGUCGUGAGCGAAAGGGUGAAUAUAAAUUCAUCUGGAUCGGCUUACUGCAGUUCCCAAGUGUACAGGGCGAUGAGGUGGUUGAGAGACCGUUGUACACCUACA